RNAcentral lists this ribosomal RNA (250 nucleotides) under uncultured bacterium. RNAcentral's name for it is "partial 16S ribosomal RNA". It matches the Rfam family "Bacterial small subunit ribosomal RNA", at positions 525 to 775 of the family's 1533-position model. The record is from RNAcentral.
ACGUAGGGAGCGAGCGUUAUCCGGAUUUAUUGGGCGUAAAGGGUGCGUAGGCGGCUUGUUAAGUAUGAAAUUAAAGCCCGGGGCUUAACUCCGGUUCGUUUCAUAAACUGGCUAGCUUGAGUAUGGAAGAGGUAAACGGAAUUUCUAGUGUAGCGGUGGAAUGCGUAGAUAUUAGAAGGAACACCAGUGGCGAAGGCGGUUUACUGGGCCAUUACUGACGCUGAGGCACGAAAGCGUGGGGAGCAAAUAG